CGAGUGAGUUCAUCCUGCUGGCCUGACCAUCUCCAGAAAGUAAGAGUAAAUGAAAGAUUUGAUCCAAGUACACUGUAUCUCCUUGUGCUGACUAUAGCUGAAACAAUUGCUGGAGAAGUAUCCCAGUUAUCAAAGUGAAAACUUCUAUCCUUUUACCUGAUUGGGAAAAGCUGAUUUAGCUAUCAAUUAGUGCCUAGAGCCAGAAAACUUGAUAAAAUCUUAGUUUG
This 227-nucleotide long non-coding RNA is filed under the name Homo sapiens (human). Its description in RNAcentral is "non-protein coding lnc-PPP2R2A-5:1". Lineage: Eukaryota; Metazoa; Chordata; Mammalia; Primates; Hominidae. The record is from RNAcentral.